Acinonyx jubatus (cheetah) is the source of this 3597-nucleotide long non-coding RNA. RefSeq lists it as uncharacterized. NCBI's taxonomy places the organism in Eukaryota, Metazoa, Chordata, Mammalia, Carnivora, Felidae. The transcript is spliced from 6 exons. The record is from RefSeq and is a predicted model, not a curated record.
GAGUGGAAAUAACCCCGACAGUGCCAGGCUUGUUGGUGGUCAGGGACAGAUGAUUCCAACCCUGUGCUGAUCGCCUGCCUUCCUCCCACCAUUUAGAAUGAUACUGCCCCUGCUUCUGUCUCUGUACUUAACUCUAAAGGACCCUGGAAGAGGGAGUGGUUCAUCCUAGCUGCAAACAAGGGCGCUAAUGCUUUUUUUUUUUUCUUUAAGAAUUACGUUUUAUAGGUAUGUCUGGGCGAUGCAAGGGAAUGUUAACGACUUUCAGAAAGAAUGUUUGUGAAUACAUUUGGUGUGUACUAAAAAGCUGGAGACCCCUAAAUAAAUGCAGUAUCUAUAGAAAGCGAGUUUCUUGAAGAGUCACCUGCUAAACUCCACUAGCAUCAUCUCUACAGCAUAUUGACAUAGGCAUCAAAAAAACCACAAACUAAUUCUUUUCCAGUGUCCUCAACUACCUCCAUCUUUACUUCAUGAAAUGAUUAAAUAUUGAAUUCUGUACACCAGUUUUGGAAAUCAGAGGAAUAUUUCCAUUCAGGAUCAGAACAGCUAUUUUAAUUUCAUGUUCACAAGUUUGUUAAGUGUAUCCAUUCUUGAUUAGACCAUUUUCUCAAGUCAACAUUCAGAUACAAAGGAGAGAAGUAACACCACGGACUACAUGUUAAUUACUCCAACAAACUCAUUAUAUCCAGUGCUUGCACACAAGCAAAGAUUAUCUGCCAUCCUCUCUCCUUGCAUUCAUCUGUCUUUCCUUAUCUGUGUUCUUUUUCUUUGUCCUCUUGCCAUUUGGUGGCAUAUUCAUUUUUCAAUCACUUUACCUUGGCAUCACUGACAAACCUUACUCUUUUUAUUUUCUCCCACAUCCAGGCUGUUCAUCCAACACAUUUCAAAAUUUUGUUAUUUCUUCCUGUUCCUGUCUUUAAAAGCUGUCACUUCCUUUCUGUUCCUGAAGACAAAAAUCCCCAUCCUAGCAUUUUUAUGUACAACAGCGUGUCCUCUUCUCAAAAUUUAUUCCGUGGUUAAACCACAUAAAUUGGCAAAUAAUGUUCCUAUUUUCCAUUCAAGCUAGAUGAUGGUAUCAACCAACCAUAAGGUCUCCAUGCUAUGGAUGAUCUUAGAAAUAAUAAAAUCCAGGUUCACAAUUAAUGUGGAAAUUGUCUUCGCUGUGAACUAGUAGCUACUCUUUCUCUUUAAUGCUAUAUGGGCCUGUCUUGCAAUUGAUCCUGGAUUUGAAACUGACAGCUGUGAACUAGCAGGAAAAUGAUGUGGCAAGAGUUGCCAUUCCUGAAGAGAAUUCAAAGAAGUUCUUUUUGGGCAGACUGUGCUCACUCAUAGAACACAAAUUUUUGUCUUCUGAGUCCCUUUGGGCCAUAUGGACUUCAAAGUGCAAUAUAUAUACACACAUACAUCUGUAUGUACAUAUAUCCAUGUACAUAAAGAAAAAUACAUAUAUAGUAUUAGAUUUAUAAAUAUAAUAUAAAAUAAAUAUAAUUUACUUUUAUGUAAUUAUAUUAUUUAGAAAUUUAUUUAUGUUAUUUACUUAAGGUACUUAUCUAUUUUUAUAUUUUUAUAUAUAAUGCAAAAAAGGUGUUGCAGUAUACAUUAUACAAAUAUUAUGUAACACUCUAAAUUGCUUCUGGGCAGUACCCUCUAGUCAAAUCCAUGAAUAUUUCUUUACCCAAAUUAUAUAGCAGUCACACUAAGAGAGAUACAUAACAAUUAUGAAGCAUAUUAUGGCCAUCCAUGGUCUGUUUAGAGAUGAGGUAAGUAUUUUGAAAAUAUUGGGUUUUUCAGGCAUUUUAUAUUUUAUUUGUAUGAUAAGCCUGUGUUCACAAAAUAUUUAUUAUUUUUUAAAAAUAUUUAUUCUGAAUCUAAUGUCUUCCAGGUAACCUGUUAGGCAUGGAGAAAAAAAAAUGUCAGGGAGUAAGAAAUAUAAGGCUAAGUUUUUGGUUUCACACAAGUUUCAAGAAAUCUGAGAUUCCAAGUUACUUAUGCCAGAAAGGAUUGUCUUCAGGUGCUCCAUGAGAGGAGGCCUUGAGGCCAUCAGGUACAGGCCUCUGCUCCAUUGCCUCCCAUGCCACCAUAGAAACACUAAUUGGCACUUACUUCACAGCACUGGAAAUAUUUUUACUCAUGCUGUCUCGUUUUACUAGACUGUGAAGUCCCAAAAGCAGGAGUCCUAUUUUACUCAUAUUUUUACUCCCUGUACCCAGCCCAUCGUCUGGAAUAUGAGAAGCACUAAAUAUAUACUUAGUAAUAAGUACAAUGAAAUGAUUUUCACUCAAAUGUUGGGAAAAUAACCAAAACACUUAGUGAUUCUCAAUGUUAUUGUCCAGAUUAUAUUAAAGCUUCUCUUCAGUCCAUCAGAGAAUGUUUAUCAAGAACAUAUAAAUUCAUUACAUGCAAAUGUGGGAAGCAAAUCUGAGUCCUGAUCCUGGUUUCCAGUACUUGAUAUGUCUUUAGGUGGGAACAUAAUGUGAAUGCAAAGUGAAUGCAGGCACAAAAAAAUUAAAGUAAAAAGCACAACAUACUUGUUACAUAGAUAUUCAUCAACAAAAUAUUGAAGAUUUAAUUUGAAUGAAUGAGUAUUUGCUGAAGAAAUGACACUUAUUAUUCUCGGUUGCUACUUUCCUUAUCCUUUAAAUGAAAACAAAAUAAUGGCAACCCUAUACCAUCACUCUGUACAAUUAUUUGAAAAGCAAAAUCAUUUAUUUAAUACAGUAGCUCAGGAAAGGAAGGAAACACAUGUUGAAAAAAAGUAAAGAAAAAAGGUGCAUUGGCAUAUGUUGAGAGAAUGGAAAGAGCAUUUCAGGAAGAGGAAUACUUUUUUUAAGGAUGCAAAUUAAUGUUGUCUACAAGAGGUACAGUGAUAAUUAAAUAUACAUAGAUGGGUUUGGGAAGGCUAAACAGUGAAAGCAUAGUGCUAAUGCCUAGGCAUGAGUAUUAAGGGAGGAGUACAGUUAAAAAUUAGAUCUACUUGUUGUGUUCCAUUCUUAUUUUAUUGAUUCAAUUUGAUGGGACCAUUUUCUUCAACCCAGUAAAACGUGUUUUCAAAACUAAUAUCCAUAAUCAUGUUGAAAAUGUACCACAUUUCACUGGGCAAUAACCAUGCUGAUAUGGAUUACUACAUAUUUACAGAUUUUGAAUCAUAACAUAAAACUUAUUUGCAAGAGUUUCAGCAAAAUUAGCUUUCAGGAGAGGGGGGAUUCAGAACCAGACAGGACUGGAAACAUGAUUAAGAAUUCAGAAGUUGCCUGUGGGGAAUUUAGGGAAUUCAAAAGCUUGGUUAUAUCUGCUUAGGAGAAGAAUGGUGAUACUCAGGCCUGUGUCCCCAUCUUGGUUUCAGGAGAUUUGCCUAAUUACAAAGGCUCUCCAGGUAGAGUAGUACUGUAGACCACAGGCUUUGAGAGAAGGAGGCAAGCACUGAUUAACAGAAGCCCAAUGGUGUGCCUGGGUGGCUCAGUCGGUUGGGCAUCCGACUUCAGCUAGGGUCAUGAUCUUGCAGUUUGUGAGUUUGAGCCCCAUGUCGGGCUCUGUGCUGACAGUUCAGAGUCUGGAGCCUGCUUCCGAUUCUGUAUCUCCCUCUCUCUUCCCCUUCCCUGC